Molecule: ribosomal RNA, 1422 nt
Filed under: Vibrio alginolyticus
Lineage: Bacteria; Pseudomonadati; Pseudomonadota; Gammaproteobacteria; Vibrionales; Vibrionaceae
Description: bacterial SSU rRNA
Rfam family: Bacterial small subunit ribosomal RNA
Source: RNAcentral
ACAUGCAAGUCGAGCGGAAACGAGUUAUCUGAACCUUCGGGGAACGAUACGGCGUCGAGCGGCGGACGGGUGAGUAAUGCCUAGGAAAUUGCCCUGAUGUGGGGGAUAACCAUUGGAAACGAUGGCUAAUACCGCAUGAUGCCUACGGGCCAAAGAGGGGGACCUUCGGGCCUCUCGCGUCAGGAUAUGCCUAGGUGGGAUUAGCUAGUUGGUGAGGUAAGGGCUCACCAAGGCGACGAUCCCUAGCUGGUCUGAGAGGAUGAUCAGCCACACUGGAACUGAGACACGGUCCAGACUCCUACGGGAGGCAGCAGUGGGGAAUAUUGCACAAUGGGCGCAAGCCUGAUGCAGCCAUGCCGCGUGUGUGAAGAAGGCCUUCGGGUUGUAAAGCACUUUCAGUCGUGAGGAAGGUGGUGUAGUUAAUAGCUGCAUUAUUUGACGUUAGCGACAGAAGAAGCACCGGCUAACUCCGUGCCAGCAGCCGCGGUAAUACGGAGGGUGCGAGCGUUAAUCGGAAUUACUGGGCGUAAAGCGCAUGCAGGUGGUUUGUUAAGUCAGAUGUGAAAGCCCGGGGCUCAACCUCGGAAUAGCAUUUGAAACUGGCAGACUAGAGUACUGUAGAGGGGGGUAGAAUUUCAGGUGUAGCGGUGAAAUGCGUAGAGAUCUGAAGGAAUACCGGUGGCGAAGGCGGCCCCCUGGACAGAUACUGACACUCAGAUGCGAAAGCGUGGGGAGCAAACAGGAUUAGAUACCCUGGUAGUCCACGCCGUAAACGAUGUCUACUUGGAGGUUGUGGCCUUGAGCCGUGGCUUUCGGAGCUAACGCGUUAAGUAGACCGCCUGGGGAGUACGGUCGCAAGAUUAAAACUCAAAUGAAUUGACGGGGGCCCGCACAAGCGGUGGAGCAUGUGGUUUAAUUCGAUGCAACGCGAAGAACCUUACCUACUCUUGACAUCCAGAGAACUUUCCAGAGAUGGAUUGGUGCCUUCGGGAACUCUGAGACAGGUGCUGCAUGGCUGUCGUCAGCUCGUGUUGUGAAAUGUUGGGUUAAGUCCCGCAACGAGCGCAACCCUUAUCCUUGUUUGCCAGCGAGUAAUGUCGGGAACUCCAGGGAGACUGCCGGUGAUAAACCGGAGGAAGGUGGGGACGACGUCAAGUCAUCAUGGCCCUUACGAGUAGGGCUACACACGUGCUACAAUGGCGCAUACAGAGGGCGGCCAACUUGCGAAAGUGAGCGAAUCCCAAAAAGUGCGUCGUAGUCCGGAUUGGAGUCUGCAACUCGACUCCAUGAAGUCGGAAUCGCUAGUAAUCGUGGAUCAGAAUGCCACGGUGAAUACGUUCCCGGGCCUUGUACACACCGCCCGUCACACCAUGGGAGUGGGCUGCAAAAGAAGUAGUGUAGUUUAACCUUCGGGGGGACGCU